Molecule: long non-coding RNA, 427 nt
Filed under: Mytilus galloprovincialis (Mediterranean mussel)
Lineage: Eukaryota; Metazoa; Mollusca; Bivalvia; Mytilida; Mytilidae
Source: RNAcentral
UUUAUCAAAAAAGAAGUUUAGUUUGUAAUUUCGUACUUUAUUUGAAACAUAUAUCAUUUGCAUAAAGACUCUGAAUUGGUUGAGACACAAGUCAAAUACAAGUUUUUAUAUAAAAAAGAAGAUUUGAUAUGAUGGCCAAUGAGACAAGUUAACUCUCCACAAGUGACCAAAUGACACAAAAUUGUACGACUAUAGGUCACCGUAAUAAGGACUUUGAUAAUUAACAAAGCCCACACAGCAAAGUGGCCUAUUAUAUAAAAUGCCCAAGUAAAAAAAUCAACGUGAAAACUAACGGCAUUGACUUUUCCAUUUAACUUAUGUAUACCAAUGAAACGAAUAAUAGCAUGCACACAUUACAAUUUUUAUAAAUUAGAAUGAAAAAAGUAAGUGGUGAUAAAAAAAAUUAAAGAAUAAAAAAAAAUACCCA